Nomascus leucogenys (northern white-cheeked gibbon) is the source of this 1098-nucleotide RNA transcript. It is a transcript of the gene named very-long-chain enoyl-CoA reductase pseudogene, with no coding region annotated. The record is from RefSeq and is a predicted model, not a curated record. Lineage: Eukaryota; Metazoa; Chordata; Mammalia; Primates; Hylobatidae. The transcript has a single exon.
CUGUGCUGUGCCGCACAGUUAGGCAGCAGCAGCCACGGAGCAGUAGCCGCCGUGGGAGAGAGCCCUGAAGCACUAAGAGGUGGAGAUCCUGGACGCAAAGACAAGGGAGAAGCUGUGUUUCCUGGACAAGGUGGAGCCCCACACCACCACUGCAGAGAUCAAGAACCUCUUUGCCAAGACCCCUCUGCAGUGGUACUCUGCCCACCAGUCCCUCCACCUGGAUCCCAAGGGCAAGUCCCUGAAGGAUGAGGAUGUUCUGCAGAAGCUGCCCAUGGGCACCACGGCCACACGCUACUUCCAGGACGUGGGGGCCCAGAUCAGCUGGGUGACGCUCUUCCUAACAGAGUACGGGGGGCCUCUUUUCAUCUAUCUGCUCUUCUACUUCCGAGUGCCCUUCAUCUAUGGCAACAAAUAUGACUUCACAUCCAGUCGGCACAUGGUGGUGCACCUCAGCUGCAUCUGUCACUCAUUGCACUACGUCAAGUACCUGCUGGAGACGCUGUUCGUGCACUGCUUCUCCCAUGGUACGGUGCCUUUGUGCAACAUCUUCAAGAACUGCACCUACUCCCGGGGCUUCACCGGGUGGAUGGCCUAUUACAUCAAUCACCCUCUCUACACACCCCCUACUUAUGGAGCUCAGCAGGUGAAACUGGCACUCGACAUCUUUGUGAUCUGCCUGUGCUUGGCAACUUUUCCAUCCACAUGGCCCUGCAGGACCUGUGGCCUGCUGGGUCCAAGACCCGGAAGAUCCCGUACCUCACCAAGAACCCUUUCACGUGGCUCUUCCUACUGGUGUCCUGCCCCAACUACACCUACCAGGUGGGGUCCUGGAUCGGUUUUGCCAUCAUGACACAGUGUCUCCCAGUGGCCCUGUUCUCCCUGGUGGGCUUCACCCAGAUGACAAUCUAGGCCAAGGGCAAGCACUGCAGCUACCUAAAGGAGUUCCGGGACUACCUGCCCCUGCGCAUGCCCAUCAUCCCCUUCCUGCUCUGAGCGCUCACCCCUGCUGGGGCUCAGCCCCUCACCCUGGUGGCAUUCUGGGGGAGGAGUGGGGCCCACAGCUCUCCAGCACCUGGAAUAAAGCCCGCCUGCCCCAGU